UGUGGUUUAAUUCGAUGCAACGCGAAGAACCUUACCAGGGUUUGACAUCCUGCGAAUCUUUGGAAACAGAAGAGUGCCUUCGGGAACGCAGAGACAGGUGGUGCAUGGCUGUCGUCAGCUCGUGUCGUGAGAUGUUGGGUUAAGUCCCGCAACGAGCGCAACCCACGUCUUUAGUUGCCAGCAUUCAGUUGGGCACUCUAGAGAGACCGCCGGUGAUAAACCGGAGGAAGGUGUGGAUGACGUCAAGUCAUCAUGCCCCUUACAUCCUGGGCUACACACGUACUACAAUGCUACGGACAAAGGGCAGCAAACUCGCGAGAGCUAGCAAAUACCCAUAAACCGUGGCUCAGUUCAGAUCGUAGGCUGCAACUCGCCUACGUGAAGGAGGAAUCGCUAGUAAUCGCAGGUCAGCAUACUCGCGGUCGAAUACGUUCCGGGCCUU
RNAcentral lists this ribosomal RNA (442 nucleotides) under uncultured Synechococcus sp. RNAcentral describes it as "bacterial SSU rRNA". It matches the Rfam family "Bacterial small subunit ribosomal RNA", at positions 940 to 1382 of the family's 1533-position model. The record is from RNAcentral. Lineage: Bacteria; Bacillati; Cyanobacteriota; Cyanophyceae; Synechococcales; Synechococcaceae.